This 253-nucleotide ribosomal RNA is filed under the name uncultured bacterium. RNAcentral's name for it is "partial 16S ribosomal RNA". It matches the Rfam family "Bacterial small subunit ribosomal RNA", at positions 524 to 776 of the family's 1533-position model. The record is from RNAcentral.
UACAGAGGGGGCAAGCGUUGUUCGGAAUUACUGGGCGUAAAGAGCUCGUAGGCGGUUUGUCGCGUCUGCCGUGAAAGUCCGGGGCUCAACUCCGGAUCUGCGGUGGGUACGGGCAGACUAGAGUGAUGUAGGGGAGACUGGAAUUCCUGGUGUAGCGGUGAAAUGCGCAGAUAUCAGGAGGAACACCGAUGGCGAAGGCAGGUCUCUGGGCAUUAACUGACGCUGAGGAGCGAAAGCGUGGGGAGCGAACAGG